CAGCCGCCGCGGGAAUACGUAGGUGGCAAGCGUUAUCCGGAAUUAUUGGGCGUAAAGCGCGCGUAGGCGGUUUCUUAAGUCUGAUGUGAAAGCCCACGGCUCAACCGUGGAGGGUCAUUGGAAACUGGGAAACUUGAGUGCAGAAGAGGAAAGUGGAAUUCCAUGUGUAGCGGUGAAAUGCGCAGAGAUAUGGAGGAACACCAGUGGCGAAGGCGACUUUCUGGUCUGUAACUGACGCUGAUGUGCGAAAGCGUGGGGAUCAAACAGGAUUAGAUACCCGAGUAGUCCCUGUCUCUUAUAC
RNAcentral lists this ribosomal RNA (301 nucleotides) under uncultured bacterium. Its description in RNAcentral is "partial 16S ribosomal RNA". It matches the Rfam family "Bacterial small subunit ribosomal RNA", at positions 509 to 807 of the family's 1533-position model. The record is from RNAcentral.